This 317-nucleotide long non-coding RNA is filed under the name Mytilus galloprovincialis (Mediterranean mussel). Lineage: Eukaryota; Metazoa; Mollusca; Bivalvia; Mytilida; Mytilidae. The record is from RNAcentral.
AUAUCUCCAAUUAUUUAAAUCCUCUGGAUCAUAGUGGGUCCAAAUUACCUAUUAGGUUUUUCUAGAACGUGCUUUGUUUAUAGAAAUAAGAAGAUGAGGUAUGAGUGCCAAAUAAGACAUCUUUCCAUCCAAGACACAAUCUAGUAGGGUAAGCAAUCAUAGAUUCAAUGCUGAAAAGUAAGCUAUAAAGGGACCACGAAUCACAAGUGCAAAACAAUCCAAACAACAAAAAAACAACGGCCUUAUUUUAUAUACUCAAGGAGAAGAAAUUUAUCCAAUAAAUAUAAGAAAUACAAUAGGUUUAGAUCCAACGUUGC